UGAUGGGGCAGGAGCCACGGAGGGUUUACAGGAAGGAGAGGCUGUGUGUCUGGAAAUGGGGUGGGGUGAGCCCCGAGAUCCGGGGCCGGUGCCGGGAAGGCCCCCUGCGGGAGGUGAGCAUUGGGCUGCCGGGCUGGUUGUGUCGCCAAGUGGCACCUGUGACUUAGGGUGUGUGCAGGCUCCGGGCAGGCUCGCUGGCCUGGCACAGACAUCUGCAUCUCUGUUGGGUCCCAGGUGUCAGCUAAUGGUCCUCUCAGACCUUAGUUGGGGGGCAGGGAGAUGGACGGUCCUCUGGGUCCUGGGUCGAGCUGGCCAGAGCUGCUGGCCGCCUGGAGUGUGUGCCUCCACCUUUGCCUGCACCCUGGACCGAUUCCCCAACGGCAUUUGCCAUCCCCCACCCUGCCACGUGCAGAGCCACGAGCCAAAGCAACUUCCCUUCCCUGACACCCCUCAGCCCCCCUCCCACUGACUGGACGUACAUCCUGUCCCUGGCCAGAUGGGCAGGCUCGGGGCCUUGAGUCACGGUGGCCUGGGGUCAGAACCAGGCUCAGCCACAGAGGCUGCCGGAGGUGGUGGAGCUCCCCGAUUUCCCAGGAGAGGCCAUGGGGAGCAGAGUGGCUGCCCGUCCCAGCCCGUGCGCAGGGCCCCAGCACGGGUGCGCAGAGGCCCCUUGGGGCACUUGGGGUUCUGAGUCCUCCCAGCUCAACUCUGCCCAGGCUGGACCACAGGAGCCCGGGGAGCCUCGGAGAGCUCCCGCCCGCCUGCCUUGGGCCUGCUGACCGCGCGCCCGCCCCGCCCGGCCCCAGGGCCCCCGCUCACCGCCUGACUUCCCGUGGCAAGCCCAGGUACGUCACCGCUGGCCGGGCAGUGGGGACAGGUCUGGCUGCCUCCUGGCUUCGCCUGGGCCUGGGCCUGGGGUGGUGCCAGCCGAUGCUGCCUCCUCAGUGUGCUCUGCUGGAGCCUCCGCUGCUGCAGGAAGGGGCUGCGGUGGGGGAGGGGCUGGGCUUUGGGGACAAGAUCACCGGGGAAGCCCCCCACCUGUGUCCACACCCCAACGGACCCUGGUGCUGGGCUGGGUCUUGCAGUUUCAUCUCAGACUCACCUGCUCACCUGGGGUGAUGGGCACAGGGUUUGGUAGGUGGGAGUCGGGGUGCUGGGACAGUACUGGCUGAGGGAGAUGGAACUGAGGGCGUUGGGGUGCUGGGCCCAAUGUGGAGACCCACUCCGACCCCCCACCGCCCUCUCCCCGCCUGAGCCCCAGCGUGAUGAAGGCGUGGAGGGGAGCCCGUGGGAGCCCUGCCCAUCACUGCACCGCCCAGCCCUGGUCCUCGGAGGCCCUGCCCUGGGAGCCGGGCCCCCAUCCCCACCCACCUCUGGCCCAGCAUCUUCAGUACAAGCGCGUAGGUGCAUGUUCUGGGGUGCAAGUCACUGGGUGUCUGGGACCCUGGCUCGGGUCCAGUCCGAGUGUGUGGGGACGAUCCCGGGCUCGGACUUGCAGCCUGGGCUGGUGCAAAGGAAAGUUGGGGCCCUUGGUUCAAAAAUUACCACGAGUUUCACAAAGGAGGUAGUGGAGCUUCAAACCAGUGAGGGCUCCCUGUGGCCAGCUGUCCAUGCCAGGGAGGCGGGCCUGGGAGGGGGAGGAGCAGGGUGCUGCGGGGGCGGGGCUGGUCUCUGGGCCUGGAGGGGGCUGCCCACGUCCAUGGGCCUGCCUUUGGGUCCCCAGUCAUCACCCUGAGUCCAGGGCUCAGGCCCCUCUCUCUCUCUCUUU
This is a long non-coding RNA of Myotis brandtii (Brandt's bat), 1768 nucleotides long. RefSeq lists it as uncharacterized. The transcript is spliced from 3 exons. The record is from RefSeq and is a predicted model, not a curated record. Lineage: Eukaryota; Metazoa; Chordata; Mammalia; Chiroptera; Vespertilionidae.